UGGUGACCUCUCUGCGUUUCCACACCUACAGCAGGAAGAACUGGGAAGAAGCAGACUUCCCCAUUCUGUGCUAGGCAUGUCUUGCAGAAAACCCAGAUAUCCAAAUAACCAAGGAAAAGUGUGGGAAGGAAUGCAAAAUCUGUGCCAAACCAUUCAGUGUUUGGCUGAUGCUCUGGGGUUCACAUGCAUUUCAAGAAGACUGAAGGGUACCAAAGCUGCAGCAAAUUAACUAAUUUCUGUCAGAUCUGCCUCUUAGUGGCAGAGUAUGGCCUGUCCAUCCAGGUUCAUGAUGCAGGUCUAUCCUUAAAAGAUUACAUGCCAAAGUUGGAGGUGAGCAAAAGUACUCCAUUCAGAAUAUGGAAAGAGAGGUUUCUAACUCUGAUGGAACACAGCCAGUUGGUCUGCUGGGAAAAGUCACAUCUAGCAGUGACAUGCUGAACAAUCUGGCCCAGACCAUAUCCUAUCACCUAAAGGCCCACAUUUGCUCCUUCUGGAUGAAAGGAGAGAAUGAGAGAGGAGGCGUGUCCAUACAGGCAUGAGAGGCCUACAGAUCCAGAUAAUACCCUUGCUGAUAAGCAUAUUAAAGACAAGAAUUAUGGAAACAAUGAUGCUGGAGCUGGAGCAUAGAAGCUUCUAAAGCAGGCUUUAACGAUGCCUCAUCUAGAUCCACCAGAGGAUAAGGCUAUCACCACACUAUAUGUUGAUGGUCUGGAGGAUAUCAUUACUGAGACCAAGCUAACAAAUCAUCCCUACCUAUGUAGAGAGAUCUGGAUGAUCACUGUACAGAGACAGCAGUGUGCUUUUAUUUUUAUUUCCACAGGGCAGGCUGCAGAAGUGGCUACUGAGAAGUCCUUUAAUAAAUUGACUGUCAAUGGCUGCAGGCUCAAGGUAAAAUGGGGAAGAUCACAAGCAGCCAAAGGAAAAGAAAAAAAGGACAGAACCACAGACUCUGGGAUCCAGCUAGAGCUCAUUCCAGCUCUGCUAGGAGCUCCUUCUCCUGCAGCAGCAGAAGAUGCAUCUGCCAACUCCUUCCACCUACUCUCAAGCGGCUCUCCAGCUAUGGUGAACAUUGCCCCACCUCCACCCCCAGUAUUUGGGCUACACACAUUCUACCCGACUGGACCACCUGCUCAUUUCAAGAAGGCUCCAGGAUCAAUCUACUGUCUCAGGACCACCAGAGGAUGGGAGCUCAUGCCAGAAAACACAGCACUCCU
This 1214-nucleotide long non-coding RNA is filed under the name Homo sapiens (human). RNAcentral describes it as "non-protein coding lnc-CHST9-5:1". The record is from RNAcentral. Lineage: Eukaryota; Metazoa; Chordata; Mammalia; Primates; Hominidae.